Molecule: long non-coding RNA, 1134 nt
Organism: Hyaena hyaena (striped hyena)
Lineage: Eukaryota; Metazoa; Chordata; Mammalia; Carnivora; Hyaenidae
Exons: 3
Source: RefSeq, a predicted model, not a curated record
GGAGACGAGCGGAGACGGGCGGCGCCAGGCAGGGGCGCGCAGAGCCGGGAGAGGACGAGGGGCUGCGGGGCUGCGGGAACCGACGCGGAGAUGGGAGAGUUGUAGGAAGGGACGGAGCUGGAGCGAGUCCGACGCGGAGACGCAGAGCGAGGCCGAAGGAGGGAAGGAGUCAGCCAGAGGGAUGGAGAGAGGUGUGCAGAAACGCAGACGCGAUGGAGAAGGGGAGAGAAGGGGAGGGCGAGAGACAGCGACCCACAGAGAACCAGAGAGACACAGGAUCCUCAGUACUCCACAGAGAAGCUUCCAGAACCCUCUCAGCUCCCCGUGCACGUUUUUAGACCCCUGAACAUUCUUUGCGCCCGCCAUAAGGUCCCCUCAUCUUCACGUGGGCCUCCAUACAGCGAUACGUGCCCGCUAGAGCGCACCCCUGGAUCCGUGCUCAGGGAGAUCCACAUAAUCCAGGACUCCCCCGUAUCAGGUACCCACAGGUGUUAGACACCCAUUUCAUCCCUGAGUCCCCUGUAAAGGAGACCCAAGAGCUUCUAGUCUCCUAGACAACCAGCUUUGUUCCAUAAGCCUUUACUGGACACCAAAUCUGAGAGCUGGCACUGUCCACGAGGUGAGGGGGCACCAGAGAGCCACAUCAACCAAGGUCUUUGCCCCGUGGAACUCCCACGGCGGUGGACGCAGCAGGUGAUAAACAAGAGAAGCAAAAUGUGUACCCACGGAUGGUAGGCUGAACGACAGCCCCCAGAGAUGCCCACAUCCGAAUUUCCCAGAAUCUGUGCCUAUGUCACCUUAUGUAGCACAAAGGACUUUGCAGAUGGAGUGGGUUGACGAUCUUGAGACGGGCAGAUGACGUCCCUGUAUGUAAUCGCAAGGACCCUUUUGAAAAUGCGGCAGGGAAGGGUCAGGGUCAGAGAAGGAGAUGGGACCCUGAUGCCAGAAGUCAAAGUGAUGCAGCCGCAAUCCAAGGAACGUGGGUGGCCUCUGCAAGCCAGAAAAGGCGGGAAGCAGACUUUCUCCUACGGCUUCCAGAAGGAACGCAGUCCUGCUGAUACCUUGGUUCUAACCCAUAAGCACCAUUUUGGGCUUCAGACCACCAGAAUUGUAAGAUAAUAAAUCUGUGUUGUU